AAACCAACAGGGAUUGCCUCAGUAACGGCGAGUGAAGCGGCAAAAGCUCAAAUUUGAAACCCUCGGGAUUGUAAUUUGAAGAUUUGGCAUUGGAGAAAGCUAACCCAAGUUACUUGGAAUAGUACGUCAUAGAGGGUGACAACCCCGUCUGGCUAACCGUUCUCCAUGUAUUGCCUUAUCAAAGAGUCGAGUUGUUUGGGAAUGCAGCUCAAAGUGGGUGGUAAACUCCAUCUAAAGCUAAAUACUGGUGAGAGACCGAUAGCGAACAAGUACUGUGAAGGAAAGGUGAAAAGAACUUUGAAAAGAGAGUGAAAUAGUAUGUGAAAUUGUUGAUAGGGAAGGAAAUGAGUGGAGAGUGGUUGCGGUUUCAACCAGCCCUUGGGCUGGCCUAUUGCCAACGCCGAGUCAUUGUCCGCGAGACGGGAGCUAUAAACGGGUUACACUUGUGUUUCUCACCUACCUCCCCCACUGCAGUCAACGACAUAAUCCACCCAUUUCACC
RNAcentral lists this ribosomal RNA (501 nucleotides) under Yarrowia porcina. RNAcentral's name for it is "eukaryotic LSU rRNA". It matches the Rfam family "Eukaryotic large subunit ribosomal RNA", at positions 62 to 649 of the family's 3401-position model. Lineage: Eukaryota; Fungi; Ascomycota; Dipodascomycetes; Dipodascales. The record is from RNAcentral.